Molecule: transfer RNA, 73 nt
Filed under: Myxococcales bacterium
Lineage: Bacteria; Pseudomonadati; Myxococcota; Myxococcia; Myxococcales
Also listed under: 1 other name
Description: tRNA-Thr
Rfam family: tRNA
About the family: Transfer RNA (tRNA) molecules are approximately 80 nucleotides in length.
Source: RNAcentral
GCCAACUUAGCUCAGUUGGUAGAGCAACGGUUUCGUAAACCGUAGGUCGCUGGUUCGAGUCCAGUAGUUGGCU